Molecule: ribosomal RNA, 500 nt
Filed under: uncultured bacterium
Lineage: Bacteria
Description: partial 16S ribosomal RNA
Rfam family: Bacterial small subunit ribosomal RNA
Source: RNAcentral
AUUGAACGCUGGCGGAAUGCUUUACACAUGCAAGUCGAACGGCAGCACGGACUUCGGUCUGGUGGCGAGUGGCGAACGGGUGAGUAAUGUAUCGGAACGUGCCCAGUCGUGGGGGAUAACGUAGUGAAAAUUACGCUAAUACCGCAUACGAUCUAUGGAUGAAAGCGGGGGAUCGCAAGACCUCGCGCGAUUGGAGCGGCCGAUAUCAGAUUAGGUAGUUGGUGGGGUAAAGGCCCACCAAGCCAACGAUCUGUAGCUGGUCUGAGAGGACGACCAGCAACACUGGGACUGAGACACGGCCCAGACUCCUACGGGAGGCAGCAGUGGGGGAUUUUGGACAAUGGGCGAAAGCCUGAUCCAGCCAUGCCGCGUGUCUGAAGAAGGCCUUCGGGUUGUAAAGGACUUUUGUCAGGGAGGAAAUCCCUAGUGCUAAUAACACUGGGGGAUGACAGUACCUGAAGAAUAAGCACCGGCUAACUACGUGCCAGCCGCCGCCGUAA